GACAGAGGCCUCGAGCGUUAGGCGGAAUCACUGGGCUUAAAGCGUGUGUAGGCGGGCCCGUAAGUGUCUUGUGAAAUCCCACGGCUCAACCGUGGAACUGCUGGGCAUACUGCGGGUCUUGGGCCAACUAGGGGCAGCCGGAACAAGCGGUGGAGCGGUGAAAUGCGUAGAUAUCGCUUGGAACGCCGAAGGUGAAAACAGGCUGCUGGGGUUGCGCCGACGCUGAGGCGCGAAAGCUAGGGGAGCAAACGGG
Molecule: ribosomal RNA, 253 nt
Filed under: uncultured bacterium
Lineage: Bacteria
Description: partial 16S ribosomal RNA
Rfam family: Bacterial small subunit ribosomal RNA
Source: RNAcentral